Molecule: non-coding RNA, 148 nt
Filed under: Nomascus leucogenys (northern white-cheeked gibbon)
Lineage: Eukaryota; Metazoa; Chordata; Mammalia; Primates; Hylobatidae
Source: Rfam by way of RNAcentral
GCUGGGCAUGGUGGUGCAUGCCUAUAAUCCCAGCUACUUGGGAGGCUGAGGCAGGAGAAUCACUUGAACCCAGGAGGCAGAGGUUGCAGUGAGCCAAGAUCAUGCCACUGCACUCCAGCAUGGGUGACAGAGUGAGACUCUGUCUCAA